GAUGAACGCUAGCUACAGGCUUAACACAUGCAAGUCGAGGGGCAGCAUGUCGGUUGCUUGCAACCGAUGAUGGCGACCGGCGCACGGGUGAGUAACGCGUAUCCAACCUACCCUUGUCCAUCGGAUAACCCGUCGAAAGGCGGCCUAACACGAUAUGCGGUUCUCAGCAGGCAUCUAACGAGAACGAAAUGUGAAGGAGAAGGAUGGGGAUGCGUCUGAUUAGCUUGUUGGCGGGGUAACAGCCCACCAAGGCGACGAUCAGUAGCCGGUCUGAGAGGAGUGAACGGCCGACCAUUGGGACGUGAGACACGGCCCACGA
This 319-nucleotide ribosomal RNA is filed under the name uncultured bacterium. RNAcentral's name for it is "bacterial SSU rRNA". It matches the Rfam family "Bacterial small subunit ribosomal RNA", at positions 28 to 336 of the family's 1533-position model. The record is from RNAcentral.